RNAcentral lists this ribosomal RNA (253 nucleotides) under uncultured bacterium. RNAcentral's name for it is "partial 16S ribosomal RNA". It matches the Rfam family "Bacterial small subunit ribosomal RNA", at positions 524 to 776 of the family's 1533-position model. The record is from RNAcentral.
UACGAAGGGGGCUAGCGUUGCUCGGAAUCACUGGGCGUAAAGCGCACGUAGGCGGAUCUUUAAGUCAGGGGUGAAAUCCUGGAGCUCAACUCCAGAACUGCCUUUGAUACUGGGGAUCUCGAGUCCGGAAGAGGUGAGUGGAACUCCGAGUGUAGAGGUGAGAUUCGUAGAUAUUCGGAAGAACACCAGUGGCGAAGGCGGCUCACUGGUCCGGUACUGACGCUCAUGCACGAAAGCGUGGGGAGCAAACAGG